GAGGAAAGUCCGGGCUCUAUUUAUAAAUAUAUUGUUGUAUAAAAUGCAGUUUAGGUAACUAUUAGGAUAGUGCCACAGAAAUAUACCGCCUAUAAAUUUAGGUAAGGGUGCAAUGGUUCGGUAAGAGCGCACCAGAUACAUUUUUAAAGUGUUUGCUAGGUAAACCCCGUAUAAGAGUAAAGUAGUUAAUUGGUAUUUUAUUGCUUCUAAUCUUUUAUAAGUUUUAUAUAUUAUUUUUUUACUGGUUAUAUAUACUGCAUAAAGUAAUUUCAUUUACUUUUAGAUUAAUAAUUACCCUUUUGCACUAAAAUAAUAAAAUUUUAUUGCUUAAUAGAACUAAACCCGGCUUAU
RNAcentral lists this RNase P RNA (351 nucleotides) under Herposiphonia versicolor. Its description in RNAcentral is "rnpB". The stretch from base 2 to 177 matches the Rfam family "Bacterial RNase P class A", at positions 44 to 222 of the family's 367-position model. Rfam says of the family: Ribonuclease P (RNase P) is a ubiquitous endoribonuclease, found in archaea, bacteria and eukarya as well as chloroplasts and mitochondria. Its best characterised activity is the generation of mature 5'-ends of tRNAs by cleaving the 5'-leader elements of precursor-tRNAs. The record is from RNAcentral. Lineage: Eukaryota; Rhodophyta; Florideophyceae; Ceramiales; Rhodomelaceae.